RNAcentral lists this ribosomal RNA (511 nucleotides) under uncultured bacterium. RNAcentral's name for it is "bacterial SSU rRNA". It matches the Rfam family "Bacterial small subunit ribosomal RNA", at positions 19 to 518 of the family's 1533-position model. The record is from RNAcentral.
AUGGCUCAGGAUGAACGCUAGCUACAGGCUUAACACAUGCAAGUCGAGGGGCAGCAUGUUGGUUGCUUGCAACCAAUGAUGGCGACCGGCGCACGGGUGAGUAACGCGUAUCCAACCUUCCCCUUAGUAGGGCAUAGCCCGUAGAAAUGCGGAUUAAUACCCUAUGUUGUAUAUUGAGGACAUCUGAUUUAUACCAAAGGUUCACCGCUAAGGGAUGGGGAUGCGUCUGAUUAGGUUGUUGGCGGGGUAACGGCCCACCAAGCCGACGAUCAGUAGGGGUUCUGAGAGGAAGGUCCCCCACAUUGGAACUGAGACACGGUCCAAACUCCUACGGGAGGCAGCAGUGAGGAAUAUUGGUCAAUGGACGAGAGUCUGAACCAGCCAAGUAGCCGUGCAGGAUGACGGCCCUAUGGGUUGUAAACUGCUUUUGUAUGGGAAUAAAGUGCGGGACGUGUCCCGUUUUGUAUGUACCAUAAGAAUAAGGACCGGCUAAUUCCGUGCCAGCCGCCGC